Non-coding RNA from Maylandia zebra (zebra mbuna), 447 nucleotides. Lineage: Eukaryota; Metazoa; Chordata; Actinopteri; Cichliformes; Cichlidae. The record is from the annotation of a RefSeq genome assembly.
AUGUUCUCUGUGGCCCUGCUGCUCCUGCUGGCUGCUGGAUCCUGUGUGAAGUGUGAGCAGCUGACACAGCCAGCCUCUGUAAAUGUGCAGCCAGGUCAGCAUCUGACCAUCACCUGUCAGGUGUCUUAUUCUUUUAGCAGCUAUUGGACAGCUUGGAUCAGACAGCCUGCAGGGAAAGGACUGGAGUGGAUUGGGAUGAAAAGUACUGGGAGCUCUUACUACAAAGAUUCACUAAAGAGCAAGUUCAGCAUUGACUUAGACACUUCAAGCAACACAGUGACUGUAAAUGGACAGAAUAUAGAGCCUGAAGACACUGCUGUAUUACUGUGCCAGAGAGUCACAGUAACACAUAACAUCAGCAGACCUGAACAAAAGCCCCUCACUGCAUGCACACAUUUGAAACAUGAAGCUACCGGAGGAGGAGCUCCAAGACCAAUAAUGAAUUGA